GAUUAGCUUGUUGGUGAGGUAAUGGCUCACCAAGGCGACGAUCCGUAACUGGUCUGAGAGGAUGAUCAGUCACACCGGAACUGAGACACGGUCCGGACUCCUACGGGAGGCAGCAGUCGGGAAUUUUGCCCAAUGGACGAAAGUCUGAGGCAGCAACUCCGCGUGAGGGACGAAGGCCUUCGGGUCGUAAACCUCUUUUCUCAGGGAAGAUACAAGACGGUGCCUGAGGAAUAAGCCACGGCUAACUACGUGC
Molecule: ribosomal RNA, 253 nt
Filed under: Oxyrrhis marina
Lineage: Eukaryota; Dinophyceae; Oxyrrhinales; Oxyrrhinaceae
Description: partial Bacterial small subunit ribosomal RNA
Rfam family: Bacterial small subunit ribosomal RNA
Source: RNAcentral